Molecule: unclassified non-coding RNA, 196 nt
Filed under: uncultured Herpotrichiellaceae
Lineage: Eukaryota; Fungi; Ascomycota; Eurotiomycetes; Chaetothyriales; Herpotrichiellaceae
Description: sequence contains ITS1
Source: RNAcentral
ACGAGUUAGGGUCUACUCGGCCCGACCUCCCAACCCUUUGUUUACUGAACCUCUUGUUGCUUCGGCGGACCCGUCCUCGCCGACCGCCGGAGGGCUGCCGAGAGGCGUCCUCUGGCCCGCGUCCGUCGACAGCCCCCCUUUAAACUCAGAUUGUAAAUCGUGUCAUGAUGUCUAAGUCAAAUGAUUAAAUAAAGCA